AACUGUCGUCACUACUGCUCACCCACCAGCACAGAACUGGGUGACAUCCUGGGGACUCACCUCACUCACUGGCUGGGAAAGAGGUGAGUCACUGUAGUUGUUGGACAGCUCAGGGGAUUCCCAUGUGGGUUCCUUCCUGCUAAAAAGAAAGCAAAAGUUACCCAGCAAGACAGCUACUGAGGGCAAGGCAGAAGUUGGGGGUGUCCCUUGCACAAACUGAGGAGGACCCACACAGCAUCUGCUCACUCCGCAAGUACUGGGAUCAGCCAAGAAACCCAUCUUUAGUAGAGUCUUAGGCUCUGCAUGGGGCAUGGUGGCAUUUGUGCUGAAGAUGCCUGAGGUGACAGAUUGAAACAGCUGUAUUAGGUAUCUAAUGGAUCCCUCUCUCAUUUCACUGUCUCGGAGUCCAACAGUUUGGAAUGACUAUGUGCAUUUGUGGUGCACAAUGAAGAAGAAUGUGUUAAGAUGGUUCAUGGACAGGAAUGUCUUCUAAGGAUGCCUUACAGUGCUUGGCACUUCAGCUAGAAGCGAAGGAAAAAGGGGUUUUGCACAUGCCAGGCCAGUGCACACCUCCAAAGGAACAUAACUUCAAACUGCUGGUACAGUGCAAAGCUGCAGUACAACAGAAUCUGAACCUGAAUUCUAUCUCAGGACCCCAAAGGCGUGGCCUGGAAGACACGUGGGCUGGUGUACCGACUAGUGUUGGGGACACUGGCACAGUUUGCUCAGAAGUAAUGUAGUGCAGACCCGCUGGCAUCAGUAGGCUCUGCAUUCCCUUCUCUCCACUAGUACAGUACCCGUGCAUGCAUGAGGGGGCGGGUGUCGCCUGCGCCACUCUCCUCUCAGAUUUCCGUGCACCUUCCCUCCGCCCCCAGCUCCCCUAAAGGUCCCGACUCUUCUCUCAGACUCUCCCCUCCUCUGUCCUCCCCUUCCUUCUCUAGUCUGGGUCCCCCACUAUCUUCUCUCAGGGUCCCCCACUUUCUUAGGUCCUGCCCUCUCCUCUCCAGGUCCCUCGCUCUUGUCUCCUCUAAGGGCCCCCUCUCCGUUCCCUUUGGCCCCCAUGUUCUUCCCGACCCCGGCACUCUUCCCUUCGCGUGCCCACAGGACU
This is a non-coding RNA of Cricetulus griseus (Chinese hamster), 1108 nucleotides long. The record is from RefSeq and is a predicted model, not a curated record. Lineage: Eukaryota; Metazoa; Chordata; Mammalia; Rodentia; Cricetidae.